RNAcentral lists this long non-coding RNA (1173 nucleotides) under Ananas comosus (pineapple). RNAcentral's name for it is "long non-coding RNA (ACOM_LNC019137)". The record is from RNAcentral. Lineage: Eukaryota; Viridiplantae; Streptophyta; Magnoliopsida; Poales; Bromeliaceae.
UCCGCUCCAAAUCCGCCCCGCCAUGAUCCGCCUUGAGUCCGCCCCGAAUCCGCCUCGAAAAUUAUUUAUAUUUUAAAAGAUAUUCCUAAAAAAUAAUGUAUUUACAAAAAAAGUUUAAAAUACAAAUAAGUUAGUACUCUCAUUUUUAAUGUAUUUGAAAUUUUUGAAUUUUGUUUUGAAUUGUGAUUGAUAUUUUUGAUUUUUAAUUGAUAUUAUUAAAUUAUAUAUAUAAUAUUAUUAAAAAUUAUUAUUUUAUAUUUUACAAAAUAUUAAUAAUAUUAUAACUUUAUAAAAUAUUAGUUGGCGGGGCGGAUUCGGGGCGCCGGCGGAAAGCAGGUUACAAGGCAAUGCGGAUUAUGGAAUGCAUUUUUUAACUUGUCACGGAUUCGGGGCGGGAGGCGGGACGAGAUUUUGCUAGUCGGGGCGGGAGUGGAGGCAGGGGUCCCGUCCCUAAAUCCGCCCCAUUUGCAACCCUAUUCACAACAUUCAACUAUUGAGGUUGUUAUAGAGUAACAAUAAUUUUUAUAUUUUUAGCGAAAAAAAAUAGUUUUGUUUUCUUAUUCCAGUUGAAGGUAAUAUAUAACAGCUUCAUUAGUUUUAAUAGUAUUUUCGGUAACUUAAUAUAUAGUAAUUAUAACAAAAUUAGAUAAUAGGAACACAUUUUUAGGAUACUUUUAUAUAAAUGUCACAUUUAUGCCAAAGUUUUUUAAAAAAAAUCUGCUAAAGUCUAAAUAUAAAUCACAAUCCAAUCAAAAAUAAAAAGUUUUUCUACUCAACCAACUCCAUCUAGCCCACUCAGCCAGAUUAUAAAUAGGAAAGAAAAAAAAAAUUGAUCAUCAUCUCCCGUUCUCCUUCUCCGUCGCCGCAGGCCUGCAGCCGAUGAGACAGGGUUUUGGCGGCUGGAGUUCGGCCGCGAGGAUCUCCUAGGAACCGUAGAGGACUACGAUCAUUACGUGUCCCUCCACUACAUGUCGCUGGAGGAGUGGGUGCCAAACAUCAAGAUGGCCCCACAUGUCGCGACCCCACAUGUAUUGACCCCACAUAUAGAAAUAUUUUUAAAAAGUAUCAGUAAUCUAGCCAGCAUUAUUUUUUUGAUCUGUACCGAUAUUUAAAAUUAUCACUAUAUAUCGUUUUUACUAUAGUGAGUUGGACGGCAUUUUUAAAGUUUUUUAG